This 230-nucleotide ribosomal RNA is filed under the name uncultured bacterium. Its description in RNAcentral is "partial 16S ribosomal RNA". It matches the Rfam family "Bacterial small subunit ribosomal RNA", at positions 568 to 796 of the family's 1533-position model. The record is from RNAcentral.
UACGUAGGCGGAAAAUUAAGUCAGUAGUGAAAUCCCGCAGCUUAACUGUGGAACUGUUAUUGAUACUGGUUUUCUUGAAUAUAGUUGAGGUAGGCGGAAUGUGUAAUGUAGCGGUGAAAUGCUUAGAUAUUACACAGAACACCGAUUGCGAAGGCAGCUUACUAAGCUAUGAUUGACGCUGAGGUACGAAAGCGUGGGGAGCGAACAGGAUUAGAUACCCUGGUAGUACC